CCUGGCUCAGAGUGAACGCUGGCGGUAGGCCUAACACAUGCAAGUCGAACGGCAGCACAGGAGAGCUUGCUCUCUGGGUGGCGAGUGGCGGACGGGUGAGGAAUACAUCGGAAUCUACGGUUUCGUGGGGGAUAACGUAGGGAAACUUACGCUAAUACCGCAUACGACCUACGGGUGAAAGCCGGGGACCUUCGGGCCUGGCGCGGAUAAAUGAGCCGAUGUCCGAUUAGCUAGUUGGCGGGGUAAGAGCCCUACAAGGCGACGAUCGGUAGCUGGUCUGAGAGGAUGAUCAGCCACACUGGAACUGAGACACGGUCCAGACUCCUACGGGAGGCAGCAGUGGGGAAUAUUGGACAAUGGGCGCAAGCCUGAUCCAGCCAUACCGCGUGGGUGAAGAAGGCCUUCGGGUUGUAAAGCCCUUUUGUUGGGAAAGAAAAGCAGUCGGUUAAUACCCGAUUGUUCUGACGGUACCCAAAGAAUAAGCACCGGCUAACUUCGUGCCAGCAGCCGCGGUAAUACGAAGGGUGCAAGCGUUACUCGGAAUUACUGGGCGUAAAGCGUGCGUAGGUGGUUGUUUAAGUCUGUCGUGAAAGCCCUGGGCUCAACCUGGGAAUUGCGAUGGAAACUGGGCAACUAGAGUGUGGCAGAGGAUAGUGGAAUUCCUGGUGUACCAGUGAAAUGCGUAGAGAUCAGGAGGAACAUCCGUGGCGAAGGCGACUGUCUGGGCCAACACUGACACUGAGGCACGAAAGCGUGGGGAGCAAACAGGAUUAGAUACCCUGGUAGUCCACGCCCUAAACGAUGCGAACUGGAUGUUGGGUGCAAUUUGGCACGCAGUAUCGAAGCUAACGCGUUAAGUUCGCCGCCUGGGGAGUACGGUCGCAAGACUGAAACUCAAAGGAAUUGACGGGGGCCCGCACAAGCGGUGGAGUAUGUGGUUUAAUUCGAUGCAACGCGAAGAACCUUACCUGGCCUUGACAUGUCGAGAACUUUCCAGAGAU
RNAcentral lists this ribosomal RNA (1001 nucleotides) under Stenotrophomonas humi. RNAcentral describes it as "bacterial SSU rRNA". It matches the Rfam family "Bacterial small subunit ribosomal RNA", at positions 18 to 1007 of the family's 1533-position model. The record is from RNAcentral. Lineage: Bacteria; Pseudomonadati; Pseudomonadota; Gammaproteobacteria; Lysobacterales; Lysobacteraceae.